RNAcentral lists this ribosomal RNA (911 nucleotides) under Lentimurispora urniformis. Its description in RNAcentral is "LSU rRNA". It matches the Rfam family "Eukaryotic large subunit ribosomal RNA", at positions 37 to 967 of the family's 3401-position model. The record is from RNAcentral. Lineage: Eukaryota; Fungi; Ascomycota; Dothideomycetes; Pleosporales.
AGCAUAUCAAUAAGCGGAGGAAAAGAAACCAACAGGGAUUGCCCUAGUAACGGCGAGUGAAGCGGCAACAGCUCAAAUUUGAAAUCUGGCUCCUUUGGAGUCCGAGUUGUAAUUUGUAGAGGGCGCUUUGGCUUUGGCUGCGGUCUAAGUUCCUUGGAACAGGACGUCACAGAGGGUGAGAAUCCCGUACGUGGUCGCUUGCCAUUGCCGUGUAAAGCCCCUUCGACGAGUCGAGUUGUUUGGGAAUGCAGCUCUAAAUGGGAGGUAAAUUUCUUCUAAAGCUAAAUAUUGGCCAGAGACCGAUAGCGCACAAGUAGAGUGAUCGAAAGAUGAAAAGCACUUUGGAAAGAGAGUCAAAAAGCACGUGAAAUUGUUGAAAGGGAAGCGCUUGCAGCUAGACUUGCCUUCAGUUGCUCACCCGGGCUCUUGCCCGGGGCACUCUUCUGUUGGCAGGCCAGCAUCAGUCCGGACGGUAUGACAAAGGCGUGGUAAACGUACCUCUCUUCGGGGAGGACUUAUAGGCUACGCGGCAUACUACCAGCCCGGACUGAGGACCGCGCAUCUGCGAGGAUGCUGGCGUAAUGGCUGUAAGCGGCCCGUCUUGAAACACGGACCAAGGAGUCUAACAUCUAUGCGAGUGUUUGGGUGUCAAGCCCGGGCGCGUAAUGAAAGUGAACGGAGGUGGGAACCCUUUGGGUGCACCAUCGACCGAUCCUGAUGUCUUCGGAUGGAUUUGAGUAAGAGCAUAGCUGUUGGGACCCGAAAGAUGGUGAACUAUGCCUGAAUAGGGUGAAGCCAGAGGAAACUCUGGUGGAGGCUCGCAGCGGUUCUGACGUGCAAAUCGAUCGUCAAAUUUGGGCAUAGGGGCGAAAGACUAAUCGAACUAUCUAGUAGCUGGUUCCUGCCGAAGU